CCUACGGGAGGCAGCAGUGAGGAAUACUGGUCAAUGGACGAGAGUCUGAACCAGCCAAGUAGCGUGAAGGAUGACUGCUCUAUGGGUUGUAAACUUCUUUUAUAUGGGAGUAAAAUUUUCCACGUGUGUUAUUUUGUAUGUACCAUAUGAAUAAGGAUCGGCUAACUCCGUGCCAGCAGCCGCGGUAAUACGGAGGAUCCGAGCGUUAUCCGGAUUUAUUGGGUUUAAAGGGAGCGUAGGUGGAUUGUUAAGUUAGUUGUGAAAGGUUGGGGCUCAACCGUAAAAUUGCAGUUGAAACUGGCAAUCUUGAGUACAGUAGAGGUAGGCGGAAUGCGUGGUGUAGCGGUGAAAUGCUUAGAUAUCAUGAAGAACACCGAUUGCGAAGGCAGUUCACUAGACUGCAACUGACACUGAGGCUCGAAAGUGUGGGUAUCAAACAGGAUUAGAUACCCCGGUAGUC
RNAcentral lists this ribosomal RNA (460 nucleotides) under uncultured bacterium. RNAcentral's name for it is "partial 16S ribosomal RNA". It matches the Rfam family "Bacterial small subunit ribosomal RNA", at positions 338 to 795 of the family's 1533-position model. The record is from RNAcentral.